This 283-nucleotide ribosomal RNA is filed under the name uncultured bacterium. Its description in RNAcentral is "partial 16S ribosomal RNA". It matches the Rfam family "Bacterial small subunit ribosomal RNA", at positions 334 to 634 of the family's 1533-position model. The record is from RNAcentral.
CUGUCCUACGGGGGGCAGCAGUGGGGGAUAUUGCACAAUGGGGGAAACCCUGAUGCAGCGACGCCGCGUGUGGGAAGACGGUCCUCUGGAUUGUAAACCACUGUCCCCAGGGACGAAGAUGACGGUACCUGGGGAGGAAGCUCCGGCUAACUACGUGCCAGCAGCCGCGGUAAUACGUAGGGAGCAAGCGUUGUCCGGAAUUAAUGGGCGUAAAGGGAGCGUAGGCGGGAUGGCAAGUCGGGAGUUAAAUCUACCGGCUCAACUGGAAGUCGCACUCAAAACU